GACGAACGCUGGCGGCGUGCCUAAUACAUGCAAGUUGAGCGCUGAAGGUUGGUACUUGUACCAACUGGAUGAGCAGCGCACGGGUGAGUAACGCGUGGGGAAUCUGCCUUUGAGCGGGGGACAACAUUUGGAAACGAAUGCUAAUACCGCAUAAAAACUUUAAACACAAGUUUUAAGUUUGAAAGAUGCAAUUGCAUCACUCAAAGAUGAUCCCGCGUUGUAUUAGCUAGUUGGUGAGGUAAAGGCUCACCAAGGCGAUGAUACAUAGCCGACCUGAGAGGGUGAUCAGCCACACUGGGAGUGAGACACGGCACAAAGUCCUACGGGAGGGAGCAGUAGGGAAUCGUCGGCAAGGGACGAAAGUCUGACCGAGCAACGCCGCGUGAGGGAAGAAGGUUGUCGGGUCGGAAAACUCUGUUGGUAGAGAAGAACGUUGGUGAGAGUGGAAAGCUCAUCAAGUGACGGUAACUACCCAGAAAGGGACGGCUAACUACGUG
This 497-nucleotide ribosomal RNA is filed under the name uncultured bacterium. RNAcentral describes it as "partial 16S ribosomal RNA". It matches the Rfam family "Bacterial small subunit ribosomal RNA", at positions 28 to 507 of the family's 1533-position model. The record is from RNAcentral.